RNAcentral lists this ribosomal RNA (497 nucleotides) under uncultured bacterium. Its description in RNAcentral is "partial 16S ribosomal RNA". It matches the Rfam family "Bacterial small subunit ribosomal RNA", at positions 28 to 507 of the family's 1533-position model. The record is from RNAcentral.
GAUGAACGCUGGCGGCGUGCUUAAUACAUGCAAGUCGAGCGGACGCACGAGAUUCGGGCUGCUGGCAUGUGAGCGGCGGACGGGUGAUUCACAGGUACAUAACCUACCUAUGAGACUGGGAUGACGUCGGGAAACCGAAUCUCACACCCGAUCAGAUGGUGAACCGCAUGGUUCAUAAGUGAAAGAGGGUCUUGCGGUCACGAUGAGAUGUAUCCGCGCUGCAUUAGCUAGUUGGUACGGUAACGGCUUACCAAGGCAACGAUGCGUAGCCGACCUGAGAGGGUGAUCGGCCACACUGGAACUGAGACACGGUCCAGACUCCUACGGGAGGCAGCAGUGGGGAAUCUUCGGCAAUGGGCGAAAGCCUGAUGGAGCAACGCCGCGUGAGUGAUGAAGGUCUUCGGAUCGUAAAGCUCUGUUAGCAGGGAAGAACAUAUGUGUACGUAAACGUCGGCAUGUUGACGGUACCUGAAGAAAAAGCAACGGCUAACUACGUG